RNAcentral lists this ribosomal RNA (462 nucleotides) under uncultured bacterium. Its description in RNAcentral is "partial 16S ribosomal RNA". It matches the Rfam family "Bacterial small subunit ribosomal RNA", at positions 28 to 507 of the family's 1533-position model. The record is from RNAcentral.
GACGAACGCUGGCGGCGUGCUUAACACAUGCAAGUCGAGCGGAAAGGCCCUUCGGGGUACUCGAGCGGCGAACGGGUGCGUAACACGUGAGUAACCUGCCCCAGACUUUGGGAUAACCCUCGGAAACGGGGGCUAAUACCGGAUACGACACAGCUUCGCAUGGGGUCUGUGUGGAAAGUUUUUCGGUUGGGGAUGGGCUCGCGGCCUAUCAGCUUGUUGGUGGGGUGAUGGCCUACCAAGGCGACGACGGGUAGCCGGCCUGAGAGGGCGACCGGCCACACUGGGACUGAGACACGGCCCAGACUCCUACGGGAGGCAGCAGUGGGGAAUAUUGCACAAUGGGCGGAAGCCUGAUGCAGCGACGCCGCGUGAGGGAUGACGGCCUUCGGGUUGUAAACCUCUUUCAGCAGGGACGAAGCGUAAGUGACGGUACCUGCAGAAGAAGCGCCGGCCAACUACGUG